Molecule: unclassified non-coding RNA, 208 nt
Filed under: uncultured fungus
Lineage: Eukaryota; Fungi
Description: sequence contains ITS1, 5.8S rRNA gene
Source: RNAcentral
UUGAAACAUUGUGAAGGAGGUUGAGCUGGCAGCCCCGGUUGCAUGUGCUCACCUUCUUUCAAUCUUCAUCCACCUGUGCACAUUUUGUAGGGGAACUUGGAAAGGCUGUAACAGGCCAAGUACGAGUUUCUCUAUGUCUUUACACACUCUAAUGUAUGUCUAUGAAUGUUUUAUUAUUGGGACUUUAUUGGCCCUUUAAAAAGUUAUA